This 45-nucleotide ribosomal RNA is filed under the name Cryptococcus neoformans. RNAcentral describes it as "partial small subunit ribosomal RNA". It matches the Rfam family "Eukaryotic small subunit ribosomal RNA", at positions 1784 to 1828 of the family's 1831-position model. Lineage: Eukaryota; Fungi; Basidiomycota; Tremellomycetes; Tremellales; Cryptococcaceae. The record is from RNAcentral.
AAAAGUCGUAACAAGGUUUCCGUAGGUGAACCUGCGGAAGGAUCA